AUAGAUGGUGUUUCACCAUGUUGCCCAGGCUGAUCUCUAACUCCUGGGCUCACGCACUCUGCCCGCUUUGGCCUCCAAAAUGCUAGGAGGACACGCCUGAGCCACCACGCCUAGCCUCGUCCAGUUUUUAAGAACCGGUGAUUCAGUAUAAAAUGUCACAGGAAGGCCAGAAUCCAUUCCCAGUAUAGGAAACUGGACUCCGCUGACCACGGCACAGUAUUUAGCAUUUACUAGUUGCUUUAAAAACAGUUGUUCAUUUAUGUGACUUUACCCUUGUGACGGGAAAAUAACAUUUGCAUGUCUAAGCUCCGUUACGUUUGACCUUCACAAGUCUGUGAGGCUAAUAGGAUGCUGUGCAAUUUUACACCACUUAUACAGAUCAGAAAACUGAGGAUCAAAGAGAGUUGUUUGUCUAGGUGCUGAGAUGAUUCAUAGGUAAGGUGCUUUGUAGAAAGUACUACACAAAUGAAAGUAAUACUGUGCUUUGGGCACAUAUCUAUAAAUUAAGGCAAAAAUUACGACUUCACAUAUAAUGGUAUCUCAGUCUUUUCUGAAUACAACGUAUCAACUAAACUUGUGCUGUUUUUCACCAUCUAACUCUCUCUUCCCUUAGCCAUAACUGAGGGGUUACUCCCACUUGACACCAGAAUGGCAGGCUUCUCAGCAUUGUGAAAUGCACUGUUCUACAACCUGAGUCAGUCCAGACAGGCUGUCACCAGGCAUUCAAUAGAGAGCAGAAACACACACAAUUACCCUCCUGACUAGGGUCCCUUGAGACAUAGGUCUGGAGAAUUCUGGCAUGAAGAAACAGUGUUUGCGACAAUCAAUAGUCUUUCGGGGCGACUUAAUGUGGAAAGAAAACAGCAUUAAACAAUUAUGCUGCACAUGAACAUUCUAUAUAAGAGUAUACAGUUGAUCAUUUUUAUGGUUUCAUAAAAAUUCAUUUGCUUUCGGGUAUUACAAAUACACCAGGAAACGGAAACAUCUAACACAGGCAAGGCACCACCUAAAAAAUAAAAGCCUGACAAAUUAAAAAAAAUAAAAUCCAGUUUUCAACCUAAACCACAUCAAGUCAAUUUUGUUUAAAAACAAAAACUAAGCUUUCGUUUCAGGCUGCUAGUCACCCUCAUUUUUCUUCAACAGAAAAAUUAACAAAGCAACUUUUGUGAUGAAAUGCUAAUAUUAAAGGUUUAUAGGGUCCUACCUUGCACCCCUGAGACAUAUUUAUCAUUACAGAGACACUUGCUUUCAUGACACAACACUUAAAUGGAAAAGAAAAAAAGGCCUACAGACUAGAGAAAUGCUGGGAGCAAAAAAAAAAAACUUUCCGAAAUUUAUUACUGUGUGUGUUUUUAACUUUCCUAAUUUAGGUAUACUGACUUAUGCUAUUGGCUGCUUUUAUUUUUGAUCUUCUGGCAAAAUUGUGUUUUUAGCUUCUAAGAGGUGAAAUAUGACUAAAUGAAGUACAAAUGUAGAGAUUUUUGUUUCACCAUCUGAAAAAAAGGAUUAGGGCAAAGCAGCAAAUUAACUAUGUUCCCUACAUUUGGAGCCUGAUAGGAUGAUUAUUUGGUUACAUGCUGCAUAGAUCAUGCAUUCUUCUCUGUAACAAGGCAAAUUAGAUAUUUAUGCUUCUAUUCCAAACAAAGCAGACACGAUGUCUGGCAGGAUUUUUUUCUACGUUAGUUAGAACUCUUGUAAGUAAAGCUUAUGAGUUUUAUCACGUGGCACUUCAACCCUGCUACAUAUAAACAAUCUUUAUGAGGGUCAUACUGCUUCUUACUUAACAGUCAAUAAAUGUACCACUACCAUUACCGUCUUCAACUUCUUCCAAUAAGUUUGUAAAAGUAACGUGCCUUGCUUGAAUCUGCACGCAAACUGGUUCGUAUUUACUCUUUAAGGUUGCUGUAUCACAUUCUGAACUUCUCUUUUUCUCCUAGAGCAUUCUAUUUGUACUUUUGUCCAUGCUUUGGGAUCAAACUGUCAACAACACUGUUCACGUCUGAAUCUUCACACUACCUGGCACUAUGCUCCUCUUACCCUAGGCACAUUGGCCACUGCCUCCCAUAACCUGCUGAGUUGCUGCCAGUGAGGCUCCUUAGCCUAUGAAUCCAGCCAGUCUCAUACAUUUCUUGAGCUCAUCGUCGUCAGAAUGAAGGGUAUACUGGUGGCCUCUAGUCCACCAGGGGGCAGGUGCUAGACUUAGUUAUGCUACCAUAAACUCUGCUGUUUGGGGGAAAACAGGGCACCCCAGAUGCUAUGGUGUCCCAGUGUUCUGUCAGACCGGCUUGAUCCAGAUGAGCAGAAUUUUUUUUCUUCUUAUGGCAGCUCUGGCUAAGUACUAUUGGCUUACGUAGAAAUCUAGGUACUCAGAGAGGACCCUGUCCUACCUGCUUGCCUGUAUCUCAAGUAAGCCAACCUCUUGCCAGGAAGGGAGAAAAGGAAGCAAAGAACUGGCAGAAAGUUCCUGAUUCUUUGGCAUCUAACUUGGAAUCCGGUACAAACCAAGAGUCAUUGCUGGGAAUACCUAGAUCAGUCUGGUGCCCACGACUGAGGACCAGCUAUUGAAAUCUUUUUCCUUCCUUCUUUCUUUGGAAAAAAAAAAAAUUCAGAUCCACCAGGAACCAAUUUAUUUAUAAGAUAUGAUGAAGAUUAAAGACUAGAAAAAAUGGCAUUAAAGACAAGCACCAAUGUUUUCAGUAUAAGAUUUAAGACACACAAAAUUAUUCUGUCAAAUUCCUAAAUGCUUACUCCUACUUCUGUAGGUACCUGAUUUUGGGUCAAUAUGUUUGUGGACAGCCUGCGUCCAAGUUCCAAACUUUUUGAGCAGUGUCGGCUGGGCCCCUUCUACCACCGCAUCCCACUCACGGUCUUAAGGGCUGCUGAGCGAAUAAAGCCUGAGCUGACCCUCUUAUGUGGAUCAUUUCUCUGCCGCUUCUUCCUAACCUCAUUCCUAAGGUUUCUUCCCCAUCCAUAAUGGCAGUGUUGCUUCAUGCCAAGACUCUUCCUUGGCAUGAAGUUAUGAGGAAUACACAGUGAAUAUAUGCCAGAUGAACUAACUCCUGUCUGACAGUGUCACUGAUUUAAAGGCAUUCAUUAAAAAAUUAUUUAGUACCCACUAUAUGUCAGGCACUGAGUGAACUGCUGGGACAUACAACUUAUUCUUAAGUAGCUUUUGCUCUAGUAGGAGGAUAUGAAAGUAAACAACCACAAUUCAUUGGGACAAAUGUCAUGGCAGAGGGAAGCACAAAAAGAUGCCACUUAUUCCAGGCUGGGUUUGUAGGAAGCAAAGGCUUUGUGGAGGUGCCUGGGCUGAGUGCUGAAGGAUUAAAAAACAUUCACUAGCAGAGAAAGUAGGUCAGGAGCCUAAGAAAUAAAAUCUGCAAAGAUGCAGAAGUAGACAGAGCUUGGCAUGAUCCAGAACGAAGUAGCUCAGUAAGGAUUAAAUAUAGCGUGCAAGCGGGGAGUGGUGAAAUAUAAGGCUUGCUUAGUGACAUGGUUUGGCUGUGUCCCCAUUCAAAUCUCAACUUGAACUGUAACUCCCAGAAUCCCCCGUGCUGUGGGAGGGACCCAGGGGGAGGUAGCUGGAUCCUGGGGGCCGGUCCUUCCCAUGCUAUUCUCGUGAUAGUGAGUUAAGUCUCACGAGAUCUGACGGGUUUACCAGGGUUUCCGCUUUUGCCUCUCCCGUCAUUUUCUCUUGCUGCCGCCAAGUAAGAAGUGCAUUUCACCUCCCGCCAUGAUUCUGAGCCCUCCCAGCCAUGUGGAACUAGUGGCACCAACCCCGACCAAGAACCCCGGGUGGAAGAUGGAGAAUUUGGUCAGAAAGUGAACAAGCCUCUUAGAAACAUGCAGUGAUACCAGUUUGACCGAAUUAAAGUUUUAUUAUAAAGGCUUGACUGUGGAUGAUUGCAGACAGCGCGAGGUCACUGAGUCCAUAAGCAGCGAGAAGGGCACACAGAGCGGAAAAGGAGAAGCUCGCUGCUGGAGGAGGCAAACUUGACUUCACCAUGUUUUCUAGGGUGGGACCUGACUUUGACCUCAUGUAUACAGAUGGGCUUGACUGAGCUAAUCGAUGCUUAUGUCCAGGUGCUUAUGUCUUAUGGUAAUAUAUUUUUUUCAACUGCCAUUGAAAGACAUGAGAAAUGAAACAUGAAAAUAUUUAAUAAUUCAGUAUUUCCAAGUGUCUAGACUACUGAACAUAUUAUCCAAGAAAUUAUUUAGAAGAAAGGGAAAGGAAAUAGGCAAGAGAUUUUAUGACUACUGACUAUGAAUCAAUUGUUUUGAGUUUUAUUUGUCAUAGAGUAGAUACUAUUUUCCCUGUUUCACAGAUGACAAAUAUGAGGGUCAGAUAGAUUAGGAAACGUGCCCAAAGUUUCACAGCUAGUCAAUGAGAGAAAGCAUUUUCCAAGCCAGGUUCACUUGGCUGCAAAGCACUUACUCUUUCUGAUGCCUAGAUGUUUUAGCACAUUUGGAUUACAAAAAUGUUAGAAAUAAAAUUAUGUUUGUUAAAAGAUAGGCAUUUAAAAAGCUCUGGGUUGUGGUUGUCUGUGGAUGAAAUUAUAAAAUGAUAGCUCCCCCCAAAACACACAUACAUGCACGCAUGCACACACGCAACCAUGCAAUGUUGGUUGUGAUGGCUGAGUCACUGAAUUUAUUUGAAAGAACCAUCUUCUUUUGCAUGACAGAAUACAGAUGGCCAUAAACUAUUUACCCAGACAUUUUGGGGUUGAGGGAUGCAGUCACCAUUUGAAACAAAAAUACAACUCUAGCAAUACAUAUGAAAGUGAAUUACUUUGUUAAUGUGAAAGGGAAAAGGGGGAAAAUGAAUAAAACAGCAAGAAUACAACUGAAAGGACA
Molecule: long non-coding RNA, 4854 nt
Organism: Cebus imitator (Panamanian white-faced capuchin)
Lineage: Eukaryota; Metazoa; Chordata; Mammalia; Primates; Cebidae
Exons: 3
Source: RefSeq, a predicted model, not a curated record